GUGCUCACCUCUGCAGCACAUAUACCAAAAAUGGAGUUACACAGACAAGACUAGCAUUGUGCCUGUGCAAAGAUGACACACAAAUUGGCCAAGUGUUUCAUAUUUUA
This is a small nuclear RNA of Mesocricetus auratus (golden hamster), 107 nucleotides long. Lineage: Eukaryota; Metazoa; Chordata; Mammalia; Rodentia; Cricetidae. The record is from Ensembl.